CAGGCAUGGGGGGAGCUAUACAUGCAGUCGAGCGGACAGAAGGGAGCUUGCUCCCGGAUGUUAGCGGCGGACGGGUGAGUAACACGUGGGUAACCUGCCUGUAAGACUGGGAUAACUCCGGGAAACCGGAGCUAAUACCGGAUAGUUCCUUGAACCGCAUGGUUCAAGGAUGAAAGACGGUUUCGGCUGUCACUUACAGAUGGACCCGCGGCGCAUUAGCUAGUUGGUGAGGUAACGGCUCACCAAGGCGACGAUGCGUAGCCGACCUGAGAGGGUGAUCGGCCACACUGGGACUGAGACACGGCCCAGACUCCUACGGGAGGCAGCAGUAGGGAAUCUUCCGCAAUGGACGAAAGUCUGACGGAGCAACGCCGCGUGAGUGAUGAAGGUUUUCGGAUCGUAAAGCUCUGUUGUUAGGGAAGAACAAGUGCAAGAGUAACUGCUUGCACCUUGACGGUACCUAACCAGAAAGCCACGGCUAACUACGUGCCAGCAGCCGCGGUAAUACGUAGGUGGCAAGCGUUGUCCGGAAUUAUUGGGCGUAAAGGGCUCGCAGGCGGUUUCUUAAGUCUGAUGUGAAAGCCCCCGGCUCAACCGGGGAGGGUCAUUGGAAACUGGGAAACUUGAGUGCAGAAGAGGAGAGUGGAAUUCCACGUGUAGCGGUGAAAUGCGUAGAGAUGUGGAGGAACACCAGUGGCGAAGGCGACUCUCUGGUCUGUAACUGACGCUGAGGAGCGAAAGCGUGUGGAGCGAACAGGAUUAGAUACCCUGGUAGUCCACGCCGUAAACGAUGAGUGCUAAGUGUUAGGGGGUUUCCGCCCCUUAGUGCUGCAGCUAACGCAUUAAGCACUCCGCCUGGGGAGUACGGUCGCAAGACUGAAACUCAAGGAAUUGACGGGGGCCCGCACAAGCGGUGGAGCAUGUGGUUUAUUUCGAAGCAACGCGAGAACCUUACCAGUCUUGACAUCCUCUGACACCCUAGAGAUAGGGCUUUCCCUUCGGGGACAGAGUGACAGGUGUGCAUGCUUGUCGUCAGCUCGUGUCGUGGAUGUUGGGUUAAGUCCCGCAACGACGCAACCUUGAUCUAGUUGCCAGCAUUUCAGUGGCACUCUAAGUGACUGCCGGUGACAAA
This 1132-nucleotide ribosomal RNA is filed under the name Bacillus sp. (in: firmicutes). RNAcentral describes it as "bacterial SSU rRNA". It matches the Rfam family "Bacterial small subunit ribosomal RNA", at positions 36 to 1162 of the family's 1533-position model. The record is from RNAcentral. Lineage: Bacteria; Bacillati; Bacillota; Bacilli; Caryophanales; Bacillaceae.